GUAGUCAUAUGCUUGUCUCAAAGAUUAAGCCAUGCAUGUCUUAGUAUAAGCAAUUAUACCGCGAAACUGCGAAUGGCUCAUUAUAUAAGUUAUCGUUUAUUUGAUAGUACCUUGCUACUUGGAUAGCCGUGGUAAUUCUAGAGCUAAUACAUGCUAAAAAUCCCGACUUCGGAAGGGAUGUAUUUAUUAGAUUAAAAGCCAAUGCCCUCUGGGCUCUCUGGUGAUUCAUGAUAACUUCUCGAAUCGCAUGGCCUUGCGCCGGCGAUGGUUCAUUCAAAUUUCUUCCCUAUCAACUUUCGAUGUUUGGGUAUUGGCCAAACAUGGUUGCAACGGGUAACGGAGGGUUAGGGCUCGACCCCGGAGAAGGAGCCUGAGAAACGGCUACUACAUCCAAGGAAGGCAGCAGGCGCGCAAAUUACCCAAUCCCGACACGGGGAGGUAGUGACAAUAAAUACUGAUACAGGGCUCUUUUGGGUCUUGUAAUUGGAAUGAGUACAAUUUAAAUCCCUUAACGAGGAACAAUUGGAGGGCAAGUCUGGUGCCAGCAGCC
RNAcentral lists this ribosomal RNA (550 nucleotides) under uncultured eukaryote. RNAcentral's name for it is "SSU rRNA". It matches the Rfam family "Eukaryotic small subunit ribosomal RNA", at positions 20 to 575 of the family's 1831-position model. The record is from RNAcentral.